RNAcentral lists this ribosomal RNA (253 nucleotides) under uncultured bacterium. Its description in RNAcentral is "partial 16S ribosomal RNA". It matches the Rfam family "Bacterial small subunit ribosomal RNA", at positions 524 to 776 of the family's 1533-position model. The record is from RNAcentral.
UACAGAGGGGGCAAGCGUUAUUCGGAAUUAUUGGGCGUAAAGGGCGCGUAGGCGGCCUGGCAAGUGGAAGGUGAAAUCCCUCGGCUUAACCGAGGAACUGCCCUCCAAACUGCUUGGCUUGAGUCCGGGAGAGGUGAGUGGAAUUCCACGUGUAGCGGUGAAAUGCGUAGAGAUGUGGAGGAACACCGAUGGCGAAGGCAGCCUUCUGGGCCAACACUGACGCUCAUGCACGAAAGCGUGGGGAGCAAACAGG